GUUUGAGUGGAGUAUCAUACACUACUUACAAGUUUGCAUUUAAGAGUAGACAUAAACACGUAGAUGCACACACGUGAGAAAACAUGGCACAACAGACUGAUGUGAUAAGAGUCAAACAGAUUUGAGAGCACAAAAGACUAAGAAGAAGAAGUGCAUUAAAGUAAUAUUUAAAGGAAUUUUGAAAAAUUAAUAAAGUGAAGUUCAAGGAACCGGUACUGGGAAGAGUUUUGCUUCGGUAUAUUUUUUUUUUUCCAAAAAGAAACUUUGAACUCAGCCUUCAAAAUUGUUAAGCAUAAAAUGUAUUUAUGGGAUUAACCGUUAAGCCGAUUAGUGCUUUCAAAGAUGUUGAAAGACUUGGUAUGAGUGAGUCCAGCGAUAUCUCUCUACUUUAUCUCAUGCUUGCGCUCUCUAACAACC
This 417-nucleotide long non-coding RNA is filed under the name Phoenix dactylifera (date palm). Its description in RNAcentral is "long non-coding RNA (PDAC_LNC007417)". Lineage: Eukaryota; Viridiplantae; Streptophyta; Magnoliopsida; Arecales; Arecaceae. The record is from RNAcentral.